AUGGAAAAACUAUUUUAAAACAAGUCUUCAGAGCUGCAAAUGACUGUCAGUCCUGUGACAGCAACACAGAAGCUGCUCUGGCAAAACCCCUGUGUGCUCAUUCACGUGUCAGAGUUCCCAGCCUCUGGGCAGAACUGAAACACCCAGUGCUGUUGGUGUUGGGGCACUGAAAACAGCCAGCAUUUUUAAGGACACCUUGUUGCAAGCCACAUGUGAAUGUGGUUGUGCAGUAUUCUCAAAAUAUAUCCUGAGUUCCUUAUGCAGUCAUGGGGAAAAGAUACACUACUGGAGUGGCUCUGCAGUGGAAAUGAGCUCAGCCUGUCAUGCUGGCUAGUGAGGGUGAUGCCAUCCCACAGGGCCCAGCAGCAUCAGCCAAGAAGACCUGUCUGACUCAGAAGCCUUCCCAAACAGGCAGAUUUUGUGUCCAUGUUUCUUUGUCAAGUUUUUGUCCUUUGAUCACAGAAUAAAAACUUCCUAAUGAUUCCAGGCUUUAGUAAAAUAUAAAUGCGAAGUUCAAGGGUGUGUUUGAGCUGGUGGCUGCAGAAAAGCUCAGCCUCUUUGGGUAGCACAGGAGGUAAUCUCACUAUGCUUCUGCCCCUGGCCACCAGAAUGUGACCUAAGUGCAUCAAGAGUCUCACACCUUAUGUAGUUGGGAAAGUGAACAAAACCACACAUCAAGAUGGCACAAAAUCUGGAUAUUUUUGAGAUUACUGGGAGGCUGUGAUGACAGCUCUUUAGAAUACAUAUUUCUCCCCAGCUCAAAUGCAUCACUGUUGAGAUGAGAAAAGCAGCAGUGGGGUUUAGGGCUCUGCUCCCUCCUGGCUGUUUCCCCACACCAUUGAGCAGUGUUGGGGCUGCUUGACAUGCCAGCAGGGUGGGCUGUGCUCCAGCAAGGCAUGCUGUCUUCGCAGAUUCCUUCCCAAGAUCUGCUCUCAGGGUGACUGCAGUUUGCCACCAUUCCUAAGCAAACCCUGCCUAAUGGACAAAGGGACACAGCCCAGGUCCUCCCAGCUCUGCAUUUGUUUGCUUAAGUCCUGGCACUGGGCCUCAGUGUCCUGUUUCUUUCUGACAGAUACACACAGAUACACUUGCACAGACACAGCCCAGGUCCUCCCAGCUCUGCAUUCGUUUGCUUAAGUUCUGGCACUGGGCCUCAGUGUCCUGUUUUUUUCUGACAGAUACACACAGAUACACUUGCACACACUGAUCUUUACUGCAUGGUUUGGGGACAUCAAAGUAUUAACCACUGUUAGCAUAAUUAAAGCAAAUUACUCUAAAGGAGACGGUGGCUAAGGCACUCUCAGCCACAGGGGGGGUUCUAUGAGAAAAUGCUUUGCUAGCUUAUACCUUUGUUUUCUGCUCUCUCAGGGCAAAUUUAAGAUAACGCUCGUGUUUGCUUUGCAGCGAGCAUGCUGACUUUGCAUUGUUCUUCCACCCAGACUCCCUAUUGCUUGAUUUUAAACCAAGAGAUAAAACUCUGGGCAAAGACUCCAUUGCACAGCUCAUUUU
Molecule: long non-coding RNA, 1509 nt
Filed under: Ficedula albicollis (Collared flycatcher)
Lineage: Eukaryota; Metazoa; Chordata; Aves; Passeriformes; Muscicapidae
Description: lncRNA (ENSFALG00000023351.1)
Source: RNAcentral